GAGUUUGAUCCUGGCUCAGGAUGAACGCUAGCGGCAGGCUUAAUACAUGCAAGUCGAGGGGCAGCACGAAUAGCAAUAUUUGGUGGCGACCGGCGCACGGGUGCGUAACACGUAUACAAUCUACCUUAAACAGGGGGAUAGCCUUUCGAAAGAGAGAUUAAUACCCCGUAAUAAAUUGAAUGGCAUCAUUUGAUUUUGAAAGCUCCGGCGGUUUAAGAUGAGUAUGCGUCUGAUUAGCUAGUAGGUGAGGUAACGGCUCACCUAGGCUACGAUCAGUAGGGGAUCUGAGAGGACUAACCCCCACACUGGUACUGAGACACGGACCAGACUCCUACGGGAGGCAGCAGUAAGGAAUAUUGGUCAAUGGAGGCAACUCUGAACCAGCCAUGCCGCGUGCAGGAUGAAGGCCCUAUGGGUCGUAAACUGCUUUUAUACCAGAGAAAACCUCAGUACGUGUACUGAGCUGAUAGUAUGGUAAGAAUAAGCAUCGGCUAACUUCGUGCCAGCAGCCGCGGUAAGACGAAGGAUGCAAGCGUUAUCCGGAUUCAUUGGGUUUAAAGGGUGCGUAGGCGGACCAGUAAGUCAGUGGUGAAAUCUCUUU
This 601-nucleotide ribosomal RNA is filed under the name uncultured bacterium. RNAcentral's name for it is "bacterial SSU rRNA". It matches the Rfam family "Bacterial small subunit ribosomal RNA", at positions 9 to 606 of the family's 1533-position model. The record is from RNAcentral.